AAGUGGGAGCUCUCUGCCAUCGUCCAAUUUUUUAGACCACUACUCCAGUCCAAUUGUAGUAGCUUGAGGCUCUAGAAUUGGCCCUCAAUAGUGUCCCACUUGCCUAUUUUGAAGGUACCAUAUUGUAAUACCGACUUCUGAAGAAGGGCAACCACCCUAUCUUUUCCAAUAUCUCUACCAAUUCCAGAUGAAAACAGUAAAUGAAUGUUAACUUCAACUUCUUGAGGGAGUGUGGGAAACUAAUCCUCUGCAAAUACUCAUCGUAUUCAAAAUAGAUGUGGCAAUACAAGUUUUCCAAUUUACUCAGACACUGAAGAUAGCUCAAACAUUUUGCUCUCUGUUUCAAUUUACUCAAACUACUCUUGAUGAGACAACCCUCCAUAUCUUCCAAUUGGUAAAUUAGAUGCAAUUUCUUGACAUUGGGAAUUCUUUGAACCACCUCCUCAUUCAAAUACAAAUUCUUUGCUCCUCUGAGUGUUUGUAGAUUCUCCAUGAUAACCAUCUUGCACUCGGAGGAUCUGGGAGAAUCAAUCCUGCAUCUACAAACUCGAGAUCAGGCCAACGACAAUCUCCACAUCUAUUCAUAUCCCAAGACGUAUCGAGUGACUGAUAAACUAUUAACGUAUAUAGAUUCCAAAUCAAAUUGAUCGAAGAUGGGAAUUUGGACUUCCAAUGAAGUCUAACAGCAAUGUGCCGUGAGUUCACCAAUUGAAAAACAUCGCCUAGGAAAUGAAUACCACCUUCGAUAGUCUUAUCUCGUCGAUGUGUAUCUCUGUCAUAUUCUUUGAAUGUUCUCAACAAUCUAAAAUUCUGAGGCCUUUCAAAGUUUAUCCCCUCGUCAUCACAUAUUAUAGAAUGAGCAUGUGACAAAGAUCUCGAGACUUCCAGCAUACUCCCAACAUUUUUAAAAACAACCCGACGUUCGUUAUCUAUGACUGAAGGAGACUUUUCUAUGACCACUCUCCAAAAUUCUGAUGCAAGUGAAGUUGUGAAUGGAGCAGUUGAAAAAUGUAGCCAGGCAUGUUCUGCUUUUUGCACCAAGGCUUCUAUUAUUGCAGCUUAAUUAAACAAGCAUGCAUGCAUGUAUAUCCACAUAGAUACCAUGUAAAGAUGAUCGAAGGGCUAUACAUCGCUUUUCUGGCUUUCAAUAAUUCUCAUGUAGUCUGUUGUGUAAAGUUUCUUUGUGUUUGUUUGUGUA
Molecule: long non-coding RNA, 1198 nt
Organism: Salvia miltiorrhiza (redroot sage)
Lineage: Eukaryota; Viridiplantae; Streptophyta; Magnoliopsida; Lamiales; Lamiaceae
Exons: 2
Source: RefSeq, a predicted model, not a curated record